Molecule: ribosomal RNA, 230 nt
Filed under: Bacillus sp. MB366
Lineage: Bacteria; Bacillati; Bacillota; Bacilli; Caryophanales; Bacillaceae
Description: partial 16S ribosomal RNA
Rfam family: Bacterial small subunit ribosomal RNA
Source: RNAcentral
GCCUACAUGAAGCUGGAAUCGCUAGUAAUCGCGGAUCAGCAUGCCGCGGUGAAUACGUUCCCGGGCCUUGUACACACCGCCCGUCACACCACGAGAGUUUGUAACACCCGAAGUCGGUGGGGUAACCUUUUUGGAGCCAGCCGCCUAAGGUGGGACAGAUGAUUGGGGUGAAGUCGUAACAAGGUAGCCGUAUCGGAAGGUGCGGCUGGAUCACCUCCUUUCUAUGGAGA